Pseudomyrmex gracilis is the source of this 3433-nucleotide RNA transcript. It is a transcript of the gene named glutamyl-tRNA(Gln) amidotransferase subunit B, mitochondrial, with no coding region annotated. The record is from RefSeq and is a predicted model, not a curated record. NCBI's taxonomy places the organism in Eukaryota, Metazoa, Arthropoda, Insecta, Hymenoptera, Formicidae. The transcript is spliced from 12 exons.
AAUUUGAGGUUCUGUUUACUCUCCAUAUAGGUAACAUCAAAUCACCGUACUUGCAUGUGACAAGAAACACGGGACAAUCAGUAUUCCGCUCUCAUGAAAAAGUAGCAAUGCUGUCAAAAAAACAAACAUUUCUUAAUCUUGCGCAGAAAUGGAUAAAAAAACGAAAUAACAUUCUCUCACAACGAUUUCUCGCAUCCAAAAUACAAACAGACACAAGACAAGUGCGACAGAGGUGGAAACCUACUGUAGGAUUAGAAAUUCAUGCUCAGAUUGCAACAAAGUCAAAAUUAUUUUCUGACGCAUCUACUAACUUUGCCUGUCCAACUAAUUCAUGUGUCUCGUUUUUCGAUUGUGCCACACCAGGAACAUUACCUGUUUUAAAUAGGAAAUGUGUGGAAGCUGCUGUAUUGACAGCAUUGGCGCUGUCUUGUCAAUUGAAUGAAACUUCCUUGUUUGAGAGGAAACAUUAUUUCUAUGCGGAUUUGCCUGCAGGAUUUCAAAUAACUCAACAAGGACAUCCUAUUGCAGUCAAUGGCGAACUACAAUUUUAUGUGAUAAAUCCAAAACAGCAUGGACUGCAGUACUUGAAAUCCUCUAAACUAAAACAGAUUCAAUUAGAACAAGACAGUGGCAAAACUUUGUAUGAUGAAAGUACAGGAAGAAGUUUAAUUGAUCUCAAUCGUGCUGGAAUACCUUUAAUGGAAUUUGUAUUUGAGCCCGACUUAGCUGAUAGUGAAGAAGCAGCUGCUCUUGUAAAAGAGCUAGUACUCACAUUACAAUUAUUGGGCGUCUGUAGUGGCAAAAUGGAAGAAGGAGCACUUCGUAUCGAUGCUAAUGUUUCUGUAAAUAACCGAGAUGAUAGUUUAGGUACUAGAACAGAAAUCAAAAAUAUCGCAAGCCCGCGUGCUGUUGCAGCAGCUAUUGAAUAUGAAAUAAAAAGACAAAUUUCUAUUCUCGAUGCCGGCGAUAAAAUAUUUAACGAAACUCGCGCAUGGGAUACGGAAAAAAAACAAACUAUUCCUAUGCGUGAAAAGGAAGACAAAGAAGAUUACCGAUUCAUGCCCGAAACAAACUUGCCACCUUUGCGCAUACAUGUCAGAGAAGAAAUACCAAAUAAAGAUAAUUUAGUCGAUGCUGUAGUGUUAAGAAAACAGCUGCCUGAAUUGCCGGAACAAAUACGUCAGAGAUUAAAAAUGGUUUUCAAUAUUUCACCUGAAGUAAUUAUGUCUGUAAUGAGUGAUUUUAUAUUAUUAGACUUAUUCUUUAAAAUUAUAAAGAAAGAUGAGAAUCGCCAACCACAAUUGGUAGCCAAGUUUCUUGCAAUGGAACUAUUAGGUUUUCUUCAUAAAAAUAAAUUAUUAGUCGAUUUUUGCAUACCACACGAAGAUUUCAUCAGCCAAAUAAUUGACUUAUUACAAGACAAAAUGAUCAACUUAACAACGGCAAAGAAACUUUUGAAGGAAUUAUUAAAUGAUUCAAGAAAACUUCCGAUAGAAAUUGUUGAAGAACGAAAUUGGUACAUGAUAUCAGAUAAAAAGCAACUGGAACAGAUAUGUUUAGAAAUUAUAGAAAAAAAUCCAAAACUUGUAUCAGGAUUCAAAUGUGGCAAGAAAAACUUAUUUAAUGCAUUAAUGGGACAAAUAGCAAAAGCUACGGAACAACGUGCAGAUAUGGCUGCUGUUGCAAACCUAAUGGAAAAAUUAUUGAGAUGAGUAACCACCGCGUGCAAUUUCCCGCUAAGCUACUAUUAGGAAUUCUGAAAAGCGGAACUCAGGGAAAACUAUAAAAAUGAAAAUCAUGAAAUUUUUCCCGUCAAACAAAAAUCGAAUACGAAUGAAGAAUAAGAAGGAGGAUAAAGCGCCGUAAAAUUGGCAAAAGAAGCGAAAUGCGCAAAACCAGCGCCGCGGAUAGCAAAUGAUAGACUGACGGAGACUGAACGGAGGAGAACUCAAGACAGGCAGUUUGCUUUAAAGCAUUAGUACUACUAUGCGCUAUUUUCGGAAUGCACGCGAAGACGCACACAAAUAUCAAGGUUGUAUGUUUCAGAGAACAAAUGCAGUAACGCAAUUUUUAACUAUUUCUUUUUUUUUUUUUCACGUAGCAGCUUAUAACAAUAUAAAUCAGUUGAUUUAUAAAAUUUAAAAACGGAUAUAAUCUAUCCCAUGAUAAGUUCGAUUUCAUGCUGAGAGUAAGCUUAAAAGAGUAAGCUUCGAAAAAAAAAACAUAAGUAAAAAUUUCAUUAUGUAUCAAAGUAACUUCAUGUACACGUAUUUUAAUAUAAACUAACGACAUAUCGUUACAAAGAAAUGUAUAAGACGAUUUAAAUGUCUUGACGAUAUUUGUGAACGGUAAAAGUAAUCGGCGUGUACACCAUUUCUAAAUGUCAAAGCGUCACGUAUUCCAAACGCGUUGACAGAAUACUUUUAGAUACGGUCAAGCCCGUGUUCACGAUUAUUUUUAUUUUUUUUAUUUUUUUUUGAUUGCCGAUUAAAUUGUCCAAGGUAAUUUAAGCUCUGUUAAAGCUUUUUAGAAGGGAAAAAAUAUUUGAAUCGAUUUCAUGUAAGAGAACAAAACACAUCCAUUUGGUAAUUGAGUAAAUUUAUGUGCUGACGUCAGAGCAACACAACGAUCCUUGUUAUAUAUAUUUCUAUAUAGUAUUAUAUUAAAUAUCGUAUUUUCCGAAUGUAGGGUGACAGAAUAACGAAUGUUGGACUAUUUUUACCGAGAAUGCACGGAAUAGAGGUUAUUCUUCCAAGAUGCUAAAAAUAAGCCGAAGCUCCCGUGGUUUAUAACGGUUGUUUAUAUGAGAUAAAUAAAAAAGUUACGCCGGAACUGUGAACCAGUUUCCGAAAUUAUUAAGCAACGAUUGCCAAUAAUGCGAAUAUAAUGGAAAGCGUGUUCUUUUUGCACGAUUUAUAUGCUCUCAAUGAAGUAAUCGCGUAAUUAUUAUAUUAUUUGGACCUAUAUUCAACAAUCAAAAAAACACUUUGCAAGAUAACAAUCUACUAUUAGUAUUGUAGUCUCAAAAGGAGAUGAUAGUCUCAUCGUUAUACUCUCCUCGAUUUACAAGCGUUGUAUUUUCCUCUGCGUCACUCAACUGCGCGUUAUCCAAUUUUGGAUUUUUGGCACGUGUCUACCAAACUGUGGCAAGAAGCUCGCAAAUCGAAAUUCGGACAGAUGCUCUGGCGUCAAAAAGAUUGUAUAAAAAAACCGAAGGCCAGUGAAACAGAGAAGUGAUGCAUUUCAUUUUGGAUCAGCGGCAUCAAUUCAUCAUGCAGCAAUUAUAGCGAUUAUAUUAUACUUCAUUUGCAUAAGUCUCUAUUUUGAAAUAUAUAUUACUUCGAGAUUUAAAAAUGAUAAGUGAUUUAUAAUAUACAACGAUUUGUUAAUGUUUGAGAGUGACACGCGCGUUGCACGAUAUUUUAAAUAAAAU